ACUGGGUGUGGUGGUGUGCACCUGUGGUCCCAGCUACUUGGGAGGCUGAGGCAGGAGGAUCACUUAAGUCUGGCAGUCCUGAGCUAUAGUGCACUAUGCUGAUUGGGUGUCUGCACUAAGCUUGGCAUCAAUAUGGUGACCUCUGGGGAGUGAGGGGCCGCCUGGUUGCCUAAGAAGGGGUGAACUGGCCCAUGUCAGAAACAGAGCACGUCAAACUCCUCUGCUGAUCAGUAGGGGGAUCCUGCCUGUGAAUAGCUGCUGCACUCCAGCCUGGGCAACAUAGCAAGACCCCAUCUCUA
This is an unclassified non-coding RNA of Pongo abelii (Sumatran orangutan), 299 nucleotides long. It matches the Rfam family "Metazoan signal recognition particle RNA". From Rfam's summary of the family: The signal recognition particle (SRP) is a universally conserved ribonucleoprotein. It is involved in the co-translational targeting of proteins to membranes. Lineage: Eukaryota; Metazoa; Chordata; Mammalia; Primates; Hominidae. The record is from Ensembl.